RNAcentral lists this ribosomal RNA (497 nucleotides) under uncultured bacterium. RNAcentral describes it as "partial 16S ribosomal RNA". It matches the Rfam family "Bacterial small subunit ribosomal RNA", at positions 28 to 507 of the family's 1533-position model. The record is from RNAcentral.
GAUGAACGCUGGCGGCGUGCCUAAUACAUGCAAGUCGAGCGAACGGACGAGAAGCUUGCUUUUCUGAUGUUAGCGGCGGAGGGGUGAGUAACACGUGGAUAACCUACCUAUAAGACUGGGAUAACUUCGGGAAACCGUAGCUAAUACCGGAUAAUAUUUUGAACCGCAUGGUUCACAAGUGAAAGACGGUCUUGCGGUCACUUAUAGAUUGAUCCGCGCUGCAUUAGCUAGUUGGUAAGGUAACGGCUUACCAAGGCAACGAUGCAUAGCCGACCUGAGAGGGUGACAGGCCACACUGGAACUGAGACACGGUCCAGACUCCUACGGGAGGCAGCAGUAGGGAAUCUUCCGCAAUGGGGGAAAGCCUGACGGAGCAACGCCGGGUGAGUGAUGAAGGUCUUCGGAUCGUAAAACUCUGUUAUUAGGGAAGAACAUAUGUGUAAGUAACUGUGCACAUCUUGACGGUACCUAAUCAGAAAGCUCCGGCUAACUACGUG